CUGGCCUGCAGUUCCCUGAACCCAGCUGGUCCCACACCAGCAGGCCUUCCACGUCUUGCUCCUAAGUUAGGGACACCCUCUCACGUGCUCCUUCUACAAAAUGGCCCCUAGGUGCCACCUCCCCUGGGACGUCUUCCCUGGGGCCCAGCAGUUGUGGCUCUCUUCUGCAGGGAGGGGACAGCCCUCCCCCAUCUCUAGAUAGCAUUUAUCACAGUUUUGCAACCUCUGUUUACAUAUCUGUUGCCUCCACCAACAGAAGGUUUUCGAGAAAGGGGACAGUAUUGUUUACCUCUGUUCCUGACAGCCAGCUCAAGGCCUGGCCUUACAAGGUCCUGAGUGAAUCUUUAUUACAGACAUACACGGGAAAAUGGUUGGCUGGAUGGAAAGCUCAAUGGAAAGACAGGGUGAGGGUGGAUGGAUGUGUGUACAGGUGAAUGGGUGAACCAGUGCACAUCCAGGUGCUGAGUGGCUAAGUGGAUAGGUAGACAGACAGGGGAGGGGAAGGGCC
Ceratotherium simum simum (southern white rhinoceros) is the source of this 508-nucleotide non-coding RNA. The record is from RefSeq and is a predicted model, not a curated record. NCBI's taxonomy places the organism in Eukaryota, Metazoa, Chordata, Mammalia, Perissodactyla, Rhinocerotidae.